RNAcentral lists this long non-coding RNA (435 nucleotides) under Olea europaea subsp. europaea. The record is from RNAcentral. Lineage: Eukaryota; Viridiplantae; Streptophyta; Magnoliopsida; Lamiales; Oleaceae.
UUAGACUGAAUAUGCAAGCUGAAAAAUGUUUCAGGACAGAUGUAAUAAGCACCAUUCUUAUGGUGCUCAGUUGGCAAAGUCGAGUAAUUGCACGGAGCCUGAAAUUGGUAUUCAAUGGGAUUAGACAGUUGGGACUUUGUCCACUUGAGACGAAAACGAAGAUAAAGAGGAGUUGUGGCUCUAACUCAACACCAUCAAUCAAUCCUGCUUCAUUACUAAACCAAAGUUGUUCUUCACCAAGCCACAGUAAACUCUCCCUCCCUCUCUCUCGCUUCAAUGUUUCUUCCUCGAAUUAUCAUUUUCUUUGUUCCUUUACUGAUGCUCUUUCUUUUCAGGUUUGUCUUGUACGAAUGAUGAAGUACAUGAUGAAGGUUUGGCUACGUGGACCUUUUUUCCACUGAGGUAAACAAGUUGGCUCCUACUAAUGAAUUAUCU